This 449-nucleotide ribosomal RNA is filed under the name uncultured bacterium. RNAcentral describes it as "partial 16S ribosomal RNA". It matches the Rfam family "Bacterial small subunit ribosomal RNA", at positions 354 to 796 of the family's 1533-position model. The record is from RNAcentral.
GUCGAGAAUCUUUCACAAUGGGGGCAACCCUGAUGGAGCGACGCCGCGUGGAGGAUAAGGUCUUCGGAUUGUAAACUCCUGUCAUGCGUGAACAAGGUUGCUUGGUUAAUACCUGGGCAAAUUGAUGGUAACGCAAGAGGAAGAGACGGCUAACUCUGUGCCAGCAGCCGCGGUAAUACAGAGGUCUCAAGCGUUGUUCGGAAUCACUGGGCGUAAAGGGUGCGUAGGUGGCGUGGUAAGUCAGAUGUGAAAGCCCGGGGCUCAACCUCGGAACUGGAUCCGAUACUGCCAUGCUAGAGUACUGGAGAGGUGACUAGAAUUCUCGGUGUAGCAGUGAAAUGCGUAGAUAUCGAGAGGAAUACCAAAGGCGUAGGCAGGUCACUGGACAGUUACUGACACUGAGGCACGAAGGCCAGGGGAGCGAACGGGAUUAGAUACCCGUGUAGUCC